Molecule: long non-coding RNA, 3376 nt
Organism: Oncorhynchus tshawytscha (Chinook salmon)
Lineage: Eukaryota; Metazoa; Chordata; Actinopteri; Salmoniformes; Salmonidae
Source: Ensembl
ACAUCACAACUAUGAAAUAACACACAUGGAAUCAUGUAGUAACCAAAAAAGUGUUAGAUUUUAUAUUUGAGAUUCUUCAAAGUAGCCACCCUUUGCCUUGAUGACAGCUUUGCACACUCUUGGAAUUCUCUUCAUUGUCUGGGUUAGGGGAGAGUUUGGCCAGCCAGAAUUUCCUUGUCUCAUCGUGCUCUAGCGACUCCUUGUGGUGGGCUGGGCACAUUGGUGCGGCUGGCUUCCUGAUUAAGCGAGUAGUGUGUCAAGACGCAGUGAAGCUUGGCAGGGUUGUGUUUCGGAGGACGCAUGGCUCUCGACCUUCUCUCCUGAGACGAGAUUGUAACUAUAAAUUGGAUAUCACAAAAUUGUGUAGAAAAAGGGGGUAAAGUAAAUAAAAAAAGUAAUAAUAAUAGAGUGUAAAGCUGUAUACAGUAGUAUAUAGAGAGUGUAAAGCAGUAUAAAGAAGUAUAUAAAGAGUGUAAAGAAGUAUACAGUAGUAUAAAGAGAGUAAAACAGGUGACAGUAGUAUAUAGAGAGUGUAAAGCAGUAUAAAGAAGUAUAUAAAGAGUGUAAAGAAGUAUACAGUAGUAUAAAGAGAGUAAAACAGGUGACAGUAGUAUAUAGAGAGUGUAAAGCAGUAUAAAGAAGUAAAUAAAGAGUGUAAAGAAGUAUACAGUAGUAUAAAGAGAGUAAAACAGGUGACAGUAGUAUAUAGAGAGUGUAAAGCCGUAUACAGUAGUAUAUAUACAGAACACCUAAUAUUAAGUUGCACCCCUUUAUUCCCUCAGAUCAGCCACAAUUCUUGGACUCUACAAGGUGCCGAAAGUGUUCCACAGGGAUGCUGACACGUGUUGACUCCAAUGCCCACAGUUGUAUCAAGUUGGCUGAAUGUCCUUUAGCUGGUGGACCAUUCUUAAUACACACGGGAAACUGUUGAAAUUUUUAAAAAACAGCAGCAUUGCAGUUCUUGACACACUCAAACCGGUGCACCUGGCACCUAGUACCAUACCCCAUACAAGGCACUCAAAUAUUUUAUCUUGCCCAUUCACCCUCUGAAUGGCACACAUACACAAUCCAUGUCUCAAUUGUCUCAAGGCUUGAAAAUCCUUCCUCCCCUUCAUCUACACUGAUGAUUGAAGUGGAUUUAACAUGUAACAAAAAUAAGAGAUCAUAGCUUUCACCUGAUCAGUCUAUGCCAUAGAAAGAGCAGCUGUUCCUAAAGUAUAAAACAGUAUACAGUAGUAUGUCUGACACCACACCUGACUUGUCUUUGCCAUCUGUGACUGACCUUUAGCAACAACUGAUACAGUACAUUGGUUAUUGGUGUGUGUGUUUGAAUCAUGGUUGUCCUCAAUUGAUGUUCAACUACUACGCUAUGGAGGUUCUAUGAUUGUCUGAGAUGGCGAAGUGCCCAGGUGAAGAGCUCUCUCCUGGUGAAGGGCUUUCUCCCUGGCUAACCAUCGAUGCCCCCCUCCUCUCAAGUCAUACCAGAGACUGCCUUUCUCCCUGGCUAACCAUCGAUGCCCCCCUCCUCUCAAGUCAUACCAGAGACUUCCUUUCUCCCUGGCUAACCAUCGAUGCCCCCUCCUCUCAAGUCAUACCAGAGACUGCCUUUCUCCCUGGCUAACCAUCGAUGCCCCCCUCCUCUCAAGUCAUACCAGAGACUGCCUUUCUCCCUGGCUAACCAUCGAUGCCCCCCUCCUCUCAAGUCACAGCAGACUGCCUUUCCAUACUACCUCUGUCUGAAGCUGACUAGACACCAUUCACAUUCCAUUUUGAUAAUUAGUUGUACCUGUUUUUUUUUGUUUUUUUUGCUUUGAGAUUACAUUUUGUAUUCGAAAGUGCUAUAUAAGCGAAAUAACUUAUUUAUUGUGCUGUGUUGUUGUUCCCAGGUGAUCCUGAAGGGCGAGCGCGGGCGUGGCCGGAGCGGAGAGAUGGCUGUGGAUGACAUCACCUUGAGAAAAGGUUCCUGCACCGAGGAGCACAAUCUGAGAAGACAUUAAUACACACAGCAGAGAGCGACAGAGAUGGAGAGAGAAAGAGAGAAGUGGAGAGAAAGAGCCCAGGGAGGAGCAGACUCUGAUUGGACCCCCAUAGAGGGUCCAAGAGUACCUCUGGGAAGAAGGGGCAUUUCUCUCUGCCUGUCCACCAAUAAGAAGACCGCACCAAACCUGUCCACCAACAAGAGGACUGCAACAAACCUGUCCACCAAUAACUAGACUGCACCAAACCCUUCCACCAAUAAGAAGACUACCCCAAACCACAGGGGAGAAAGAGGGUCCACCAUGUGAUCCCCCACCACCCCUACCCACUCUCUCCAACUCUCCAUCACCCGGUUCCUCACUAUUGACCUGUGCUUGCCCCUGGUAACCCUGGAAACGUCCCUGUGAGCACUGCCACCCAGACAAUCACAUCGCCCAAAGGCCUCCAUCGAUGUUUCAUCAUCUUGCUUUCAUAUUUUAGUCUGAAGCCAUAUCUGAUUGUUUGCUAUCCAUCAUUUAGAUUGUAUAACUGUUUUAACCUGCGUCGUGUUCAUUAGGUACCAAACAGGGAAAAACUGACUGAAACAGGGAGGGACUACGAGGGCUUGUCCAAUAAGAAACAAUUAUUCACAUUUUCCGUUGCAGAGCAUUUUAAAACAUUUCCCGUUCUGUGCCCUAAUGAACAGGACCCAGGGACAACAAGAGAAGACACCAACCUGUAAUGAUAAUGGGGAGAAUGAAAAAUCCAAACCCUGAUCCGUUUAUUUAGACAAAUCAAAUUCUGUAAAACUAGUGCUGAGGCACUCGUAUGUUACUAUUGCUACAACCGUAUGCAAGUUCACAUGAUAAGCCAUUAUUAUCUGAAUUCUGAAUUUUAAGAUUGACCGUGAUUUCUCUCUAUGUGCUUUGUUCUAUUAAGUGCAAGUUGGUUGUACUGGCGAUGACAGUAUCAACGAUUUCUGGCUCUCACCCAGUGUAUUAUUGUAAAUGUAGUCGUGUGUACAUAUUCUAGAACACUUUCAUGCUCAUAUUAAGCUGUGUGGUUUAUACGUUUAUGUAAAUUCAGACUUAUGUAUUAAUUGGAGUGGAAAAAUGUAUGGUUUUCGUUUGUUUCUAUAAUUCAAUAUCAAUAUAUGGAUAAACAUUUGAACCUUGUGGGAAUACAAGGCUGUUUACAGUACAUAAAUGAUCAUAUCUGUUCAUGCUUUAUGUUGAAUUACUAGAUAAGUUCCUCAGUCGUUUUUAACGUUUCGCAGUACACAGUUGCAUUAUUGUGCCAUCUGCCAUAAUGAAGGUUCUGAUCUGUUGGAAAUUCAAACUGUACUAUAUGCAUGGAUCAGUUCACCAAAUUCUCAUAAUAUACUCAGCCAAUGAUGUAAAUAAAAGGACAUUGACUGAUA